UCCAUCGAUGAAGAACGCAGCGAAAUGCGAUACGUAGUGUGAAUUGCAGAAUUCCGCGAAUCAUCGAGUUUUUGAACGCAAGUUGCGCCCGAGGCUUGUCCGAGGGCAUUUCCGUUAGAGCGUCACCGCGCCCCCCCACCACACUCCCCAAGUACUUUUGUACCUGUGCGCCAGUUUGAGUGGAACUGGCCGUCCCGGAGUGCUAAGGUACCCGGGUCGGCUGAAAUGGAGGGAAUUUGGCCGCCGUGGCAUCACUUGCCCCGCGAUCAGGUGUGAUUACGAACUCCCACGCCACUUAGUGUCGUGGGACUUGGGUCUUCCAAGUGCGGGGCUCCCGGUGAGCCCGAGUGCGUGCGAGUUCCACAGCAGGCUACCUUAGCUACCAAGGCCCUUCCACUCUGUGGAAGGCCUCGAGGAAACGAAGAGGUAACGCAUCAG
Molecule: ribosomal RNA, 438 nt
Filed under: uncultured soil eukaryote
Lineage: Eukaryota
Description: eukaryotic LSU rRNA
Rfam family: 5.8S ribosomal RNA (bases 3-125)
Source: RNAcentral